Molecule: small nucleolar RNA, 103 nt
Filed under: Microcebus murinus (gray mouse lemur)
Lineage: Eukaryota; Metazoa; Chordata; Mammalia; Primates; Cheirogaleidae
Description: Small nucleolar RNA U13 (ENSMICG00000038269.2)
Rfam family: Small nucleolar RNA U13
Source: Rfam by way of RNAcentral
AUCCUUUGUAGUUCAUAAGCGUGACGACUGGGCUUUCACGCUCAUGUGUGAAAUGUGCCUCGCUCAAACCUUGUUACGACGUCGGCACAUUAACCAUCUGACA